AGAGUUUGAUCAUGGCUCAGGAUUAACGCUGGCGGUAUGCCUAACACAUGCAAGUCGAACGGAAUACUCGAAAAGAGAAUCUCACACUAGUGAGAGGUUCUCCAACCGAGUUUUUAGUGGCGGACGGGUGAGUAACACGUUGGAACCUGCCCCGAAGUGGGGAAUAACUGCUCGAAAGAGUAGCUAAUACCCCAUAGUAUCCGACUCGAUCGGAUUAAAGAUUUAUCGCUUCGGGAGGGGCCUGCGUCUGAUUAGCUAGUUGGUGAGGUAAAAAGCUCACCAAGGCGACGAUCAGUAGCUGGUUCGAGAGGAUGACCAGCCACACUGGGACUGAGAUACGGCCCAGACUCCUACGGGAGGCAGCAGUGAGGAAUCUUCCACAAUGGACGAAAGUCUGAUGGAGCAAUACCGCGUGCAGGAAGACGCUUUUCGGAGUGUAAACUGCUUUUGUCGUCGAAGAUUAUGACUGUAGACGAAGAAUAAGGGACCGGCUAACUACGUG
RNAcentral lists this ribosomal RNA (502 nucleotides) under uncultured bacterium. Its description in RNAcentral is "bacterial SSU rRNA". It matches the Rfam family "Bacterial small subunit ribosomal RNA", at positions 8 to 507 of the family's 1533-position model. The record is from RNAcentral.